This 348-nucleotide ribosomal RNA is filed under the name uncultured Nitrosomonas sp. RNAcentral describes it as "bacterial SSU rRNA". It matches the Rfam family "Bacterial small subunit ribosomal RNA", at positions 1 to 352 of the family's 1533-position model. Lineage: Bacteria; Pseudomonadati; Pseudomonadota; Betaproteobacteria; Nitrosomonadales; Nitrosomonadaceae. The record is from RNAcentral.
UAGGGUUUUUGAUCCUGGCUCAGAUUGAACGCUGGCGGCAUGCUUUACACAUGCAAGUCGAACGGCAGCACGAGUGCUUUGCACUUGGUGGCGAGUGGCGAACGGGUGAGUAAUACAUCGGAACGUAUCUUAGAGAGGGGGAUAACGCAUCGAAAGAUGUGCUAAUACCGCAUAAUCUCUGCGGAGAAAAGUAGGGGAUCGUAAGACCUUGCGCUUUNAGAGCGNCCGAUGUCUGAUUAGCUAGUUGGUGAGGUAAAGGCUCACCAAGGCANCGAUCAGUAGUUGGUCUGAGAGGAUGGCCAACCACACUGGGACUGAGACACGGCCCAGACUCCUACGGAAGGCAGC